Molecule: non-coding RNA, 122 nt
Filed under: Paraphysomonas imperforata
Lineage: Eukaryota; Chrysophyceae; Chromulinales; Paraphysomonadaceae
Source: RNAcentral
CUCUGUGUCUGAUUGUUGACAUGGCUUCAUAAACACGUGUAUUCUGUGGUCUGUUUGAUUGGUGUGUUUUUAUUCCGACAUAUUAUAAACUCAAAUUAAAUUUCGUGAUAUAAUUAAUUUUU